AGUAUUUUAAUUUGCCAUUAAUAAAUAUGAAAUAAACAUGUUUCAAAGAAAGUUAUCAAAACAAAUAUAAAAAUGAGAAGCAGUGAUGGCUUGUUCAACAGAUGCAGAUGUAGAGACAUCCUAA
Molecule: long non-coding RNA, 124 nt
Organism: Etheostoma cragini (Arkansas darter)
Lineage: Eukaryota; Metazoa; Chordata; Actinopteri; Perciformes; Percidae
Exons: 3
Source: RefSeq, a predicted model, not a curated record